UUGUUGGUAAGGUAAAAGCUUACCAAGGCUUCGAUCAGUAGCUGGUCUGAGAGGACGACCAGCCACACUGGGACUGAGACACGGCCCAGACUCCUACGGGAGGCAGCAGUGGGGAAUUUUGGACAAUGGGGGCAACCCUGAUCCAGCCAUGCCGCGUGAGUGAAGAAGGCCUUCGGGUUGUAAAGCUCUUUCAGCCGGAACGAAACGGUUACGGAUAACACCCGUGACUACUGACGGUACCGGAAGAAGAAGCACCGGCUAACUACGUGCCAGCAGCCGCGGUAAUACGUAGGGUGCGAGCGUUAAUCGGAAUUACUGGGCGUAAAGCGUGCGCAGGUGGUUUUGUAAGUCAGAUGUGAAAGCCCCGGGCUCAACCUGGGAACUGCGUUUGAAACUACAAGACUAGAGUGUGGCAGAGGGGGGUGGAAUUCCGCGUGUAGCAGUGAAAUGCGUAGAGAUGUGGAGGAACACCGAUGGCGAAGGCAGCCCCCUGGGUCAACACUGACGCUCAGGCACGAAAGCAUGGGGAGCAAACAGGAUUAGAUACCCUGGUAGUCCAUGCCCUAAACGAUGUCAACUAGUUGUCGGGCCUUUACGGGCUUGGUAACGUAGCUAACGCGUGAAGUUGACCGCCUGGGGAGUACGAUCGCAAGAUUAAAACUCAAAUGAAUUGACGGGGACCCGCACAAGCGGUGGAUUAUGUGGAUUAAUUCGAUGCAACGCGAAAAACCUUACCUACCCUUGACAUGUAUCGAAGCCCGCAGAAAAGCGGGGGUGCCCGAAAGGGAACGAUAACACAGGUGCUGCAUGGCUGUCGUCAGCUCGUGUCGUGAGAUGUUGGGCUAAGUCCCGCAACGAGCGCAACCCUUGUCAUUAAUUGCCAUCAUUUAGUUGGGCACUUUAAUGAGACUGCCGG
RNAcentral lists this ribosomal RNA (916 nucleotides) under uncultured bacterium. RNAcentral's name for it is "bacterial SSU rRNA". It matches the Rfam family "Bacterial small subunit ribosomal RNA", at positions 246 to 1155 of the family's 1533-position model. The record is from RNAcentral.